GGGGAAUAUUGCGCAAUGGAGGAAACUCUGACGCAGUGACGCCGCGUAUAGGAAGAAGGUUUUCGGAUUGUAAACUAUUGUCGUGAGGGAAGAAAUUGACAGUACCUCAGGAGGAAGCUCCGGCUAACUAUGUGCCAGCCGCCGCGGUAAUACAUAGGGAGCAAGCGUUAUCCGGAAUUAUUGGGUGUAAAGGGUGCGUAGACGGGAAAUUAAGUUAGUUGUGAAGUCCCUCGGCUUAACUGAGGAACUGCAACUAAAACUAACUUUCUUGAGUGCUGGAGAGGAAAGUGGAAUUCCUAGUGUAGCGGUGAAAUGCGUAGAUAUUAGGAGGAACACCAGUGGCGAAGGCGACUUUCUGGACAGUAACUGACGUUGAGGCACGAAAGUGUGGGGAGCAAACAGG
RNAcentral lists this ribosomal RNA (403 nucleotides) under uncultured bacterium. RNAcentral describes it as "bacterial SSU rRNA". It matches the Rfam family "Bacterial small subunit ribosomal RNA", at positions 356 to 776 of the family's 1533-position model. The record is from RNAcentral.